UACGUAGGGCGCAAGCGUUUGUCCGGAAUUAUUGGGCGUAAAGAGCUCGUAGGCGGCUUGUCACGUCGGGUGUGAAAGCCCGGGGCUUAACCCCCGGGUCUGCAUUCGAUACGGGCUAGCUAGAGUGUGGUAGGGGAGAUCGGAAUUCCUGGUGUAGCGGUGAAAUGCGCAGAUAUCAGGAGGAACACCGGUGGCGAAGGCGGAUCUCUGGGCCAUUACUGACGCUGAGGAGCGAAAGCGUGGGGAGCGAACAGG
This 255-nucleotide ribosomal RNA is filed under the name uncultured bacterium. RNAcentral's name for it is "partial 16S ribosomal RNA". It matches the Rfam family "Bacterial small subunit ribosomal RNA", at positions 524 to 776 of the family's 1533-position model. The record is from RNAcentral.